GGCGGCAGGCCUAACACAUGCAAGUCGAACGUGAAGCUGGAGCUUGCUCCAGUGGAAAGUGGCAGACGGGUGAGUAACGCGUGGGAACCUACCCAGUAGUACGGAACAACGGUUGGAAACGACUGCUAAUACCGUAUACGUCCUUCGGGAGAAAGAUUUAUCGCUAUUGGAUGGGCCCGCGUUGGAUUAGCUUGUUGGUGAGGUAAAAGCUCACCAAGGCGACGAUCCAUAGCUGGUCUGAGAGGAUGAUCAGCCACACUGGGACUUAGACACGGCCCAGACUCCUACGGGAGGCAGCAGUGGGGAAUAUUGCACAAUGGGCGCAAGCCUGAUGCAGCCAUGCCGCGUGAGUGAAGAAGGCCCUAGGGUUGUAAAGCUCUUUCGGCGGGGACGAUAAUGACGGUACCCGCAGAAGAAGCCCCGGCU
This 426-nucleotide ribosomal RNA is filed under the name uncultured Alphaproteobacteria bacterium. RNAcentral describes it as "bacterial SSU rRNA". It matches the Rfam family "Bacterial small subunit ribosomal RNA", at positions 38 to 498 of the family's 1533-position model. The record is from RNAcentral. Lineage: Bacteria; Pseudomonadati; Pseudomonadota; Alphaproteobacteria.